This 1057-nucleotide long non-coding RNA is filed under the name Theobroma cacao (cacao). RNAcentral's name for it is "long non-coding RNA (TCAC_LNC001509)". Lineage: Eukaryota; Viridiplantae; Streptophyta; Magnoliopsida; Malvales; Malvaceae. The record is from RNAcentral.
CUGCAUGCGGGAAUAUAAGGUUAAGCUUUCUUCACUAUGCGUGGUGCAGCCUGCAGUGCACCACAAAUAUUUCUCAGGUUUCAGCUCUGCCUCACCCUAAACUUUUCCCUAUUUAUAUUUCAUUUCUUCAUCUUAUGUAUGUAAAUUGUCUAUAUAUAUACAUAUAUAUGACUUCCUUUGAAGAAAUUAACGAGCCAUGAAUGAGAAAAUGGGCAUGAACCCUUUUCUCUCCCUUCUCUAAGCAAGCUUGUUUUCCAUAGCAUUUCCUUCUGAUCUUUGCACGUCGAUGUUUCUGAUCAUGUUAAGCUCUGGGGUUUCUACUAUGCAUCGGCUUUCUUGCACUGAUGAUCAAAAGAGGAUGGUUAAGCUUCUCUUUCGAUUUUAUAUGAUGGGUGGCUUUGAUAGCUGCCUUUCAGUGAAUGUAGAGCUUCACUCCCGGUGAGAAAAGGUAGCAUGGGAAUGGAGAUCAUCCAUGCAAAGGGGAAUCAAGCGUUCCUGGUCCGACCACAUUACUUAUCUGUUUUAUGUUUGUUCUUUGUUCUUUUUGGGGAUGAAUGGUUAAACAGGUUAGCCUGCAAUACUUAUUCAUGUGUUCAUCACCCUGGCUUUCUUAUUCUUUGUCAAAUUUACUUUAUUUUAGGAUUGAAGAACAUCGAUUAUUAGUAUACAAAGAAAAUGUUCUUGCAGUAUUGUAUGUGAGGUGAAUAAGCAGCUAGAUCCGAGUGAAAGAUAGAGCUGCUGUUUCAGGCAGAUGAAAUUUUUAGGAAUGUAAGAAAUGUGUGUGAGUGCUUCAUGUAAUAAAAGUUUCAUUUCUAUUUGCUCAAUGUUUUUCUUUGUGUGUGUUUGUAUUCUUCCUUCCCUGGCAAAUUUCCAUCAAAGUUCCUGCCAUUUCUGCAACUUAGAACUGUAGAUCUGGUGACAAUAUAGAGCCAAUUUUCUAUAUGGAUGUUUUCACCAUGAGAGGGCUUCCCUUGUUCCAGAUGUUGCUGAUCUUGCUGCAUAUAAUUAAUUUUCCCUUUUGUCUUCUUUUGCUUCUGAUGCAAUCAAUUCUGUCUUC